Long non-coding RNA from Perca flavescens (yellow perch), 649 nucleotides. RefSeq lists it as uncharacterized. NCBI's taxonomy places the organism in Eukaryota, Metazoa, Chordata, Actinopteri, Perciformes, Percidae. The record is from RefSeq and is a predicted model, not a curated record. The transcript has 3 exons.
AAAAGGGACACCGAAGUUGCCUGCUUUCUUCUCGACGGCAGUUGGCCUCCUCUACCUGGGAGCGCGCAGCCCAACAUCUCAGCUCUCAGACAGAUGUCCCCCAGCGUCCCGUUCUGGUACCAGGUCUGUGGGUUGAUCCGGAUGUAACGGGCCACCGUGGAAGUGUUGAAAAGGGCGAGGACAGGCGUCUCUGUGUCCUGGUUUCCUUCAAAUACCUGCAGCACAAGUUGUGAUUCAGGCUAAGAGCACAACCCUCCUCCUCCUCCCCUUGCUCCUCCGGUCUUCAUCUCGCACGGCUCCUGGUUCCUCCUCCGGCAGGCCACUACCAUCGGCUCCUUGGUUCGGUCUUCGGGUUCCUCACACCACCACCAGUGUCUAGACUCCAUUGGGGGACCAGCUUCUGGCUUUCUAACCCCCUAAAUAUAUAUAAUUUCAUAAUGAUGGAGUCUAAUCUCCAAAGACUGUGAUAUGUCAUAUCAUGCAUUCGUACAAUAAAUCUUUGCAUAUCUGCAACCAAAUCUCUCCUGAUUGAAAUACGGAACAAGGCCCAUGAAACGACACGUUUAGCUGUCAUGAUUUUUAGUUCUAUUUGGCCAUGCCAUCACCUUCUACUCACCUUUUUUUAGGUGUCCUUACAUGUCUCCCUAAA